GACGAAUGCUGGCGGCGUGCUUAACACAUGCAAGUCGAGCGGUAAGGCCCUUCGGGGUACACGAGCGGCGAACGGGUGAGUAACACGUGAGUAAUCUGCCCAUCACUUCGGGAUAACUCCGGGAAACCGGUGCUAAUACCGAAUAUGACCACUUCAGGCAUCUGAUGGUGGUGGAAAGUUCCGGCGGUGAUGGAUGAGCUCGCGGCCUAUCAGCUUGUUGGUGGGGUAGUGGCCUACCAAGGCUUCGACGGGUAGCCGGCCUGAGAGGGUGACCGGCCACACUGGGACUGAGACACGGCCCAGACUCCUACGGGAGGCAGCAGUGGGGAAUAUUGGACAAUGGGCGAAAGCCUGAUCCAGCAACGCCGCGUGAGGGAUGACGGCCUUCGGGUUGUAAACCUCUUUCAGCAGGGACGAAGCGCAAGUGACGGUACCUGCAGAAGAAGCACCGGCCAACUACGUG
Molecule: ribosomal RNA, 463 nt
Filed under: uncultured bacterium
Lineage: Bacteria
Description: partial 16S ribosomal RNA
Rfam family: Bacterial small subunit ribosomal RNA
Source: RNAcentral